UACGGAGGAGGCAAGCGUUAUCCUGAAUUAUUGGGCGUAAAGCGUCCGCAGGUGGCACCUCAAGUCUGCUGUCAAAGACCGGGGCUUAACCCCAGAAAGGCAGUGGAAACUGAAGUGCUAGAGUGCAGUAGGGGUAGAGGGAAUUCCCGGUGUAGCGGUGAAAUGCGUAGAGAUCGGGAAGAACAUCGGUGGCGAAAGCGCUCUGCUGGACUGCAACUGACACUCAGGGACGAAAGCUAGGGGAGCGAAUGGG
RNAcentral lists this ribosomal RNA (253 nucleotides) under uncultured bacterium. Its description in RNAcentral is "partial 16S ribosomal RNA". It matches the Rfam family "Bacterial small subunit ribosomal RNA", at positions 524 to 776 of the family's 1533-position model. The record is from RNAcentral.